AUUCAUUCAAGCGGGCUAACUAACCGUGUGUUGCCAAGGCGAGGCAUGGGUUCCUGGCCAGAGUCGAGGCAGUAUUUUCGGCUGGACGAUGUUACUCCUGACGACGCAUCGUUGCGUCUUCCCUGUGUGCAGUAAUGGCAUGGGCUACCGAUGAUUCACCACUGGUUUUGCUUGUGUCCAGUGGCCGUGCACCGUGCAAGUGGUCAUGAUUGUUCGCCAUCGUUGUAAAUCGACGUUAGAUGCAUCAGCUAGAGUAGCUUGCGGGCUGGAAUUCGUUGCAAACUAUGACAUGCUCGGAUAUGUAUGUACUGCACUGCAACUUAUGAUGCAUGCUCGGAUAGGCGCAUUCUUCAGUCUAAAAUAUAACCUAAGUCCUGAACUCUGAUCCAGGGCAAUUCUUGAAUUUCAGAUGGUUGCUGUGAAAUAGCUGGGAUUUUGUUUUCUUUGUAACCGCACAAGAGCUGGUGAUAUGUUUGAUUGGUAUACACCUAAUGACUUCUUGGCAUCUGAAUUGUUAGCGCCCCUGCCAGGAAAGGCACCCACCACAGCGCCAACGACAUGCGCGGUACACGGGCCAAGCGUGUACCACGGACCAACCCCCGCUUCACUGGGCCGGACUGGGCCAACCAGCUAUACUCGAAGGGCCACGCUACUUAAGCAAGGCUAGUCAUCCAGAGGAUCACGACACUGGCGGCUACCUACUUUCCCUUCCACUUGUUCUUGUGUUCAUCUUGCAUCGAAGAACUCCUACCAAUUCUUGUAAUCUCCUGUACCUAAGCUACUACUUCAGAGAGCUAAACCAAGAGAGGGUCAGUGUAAUCAUAACAUCUGGUAUCAGAGCCCAACCACCUCCCUUCCAUCACUUCCGAUCUGGCCAAUUUCGUGGAAACCCGACGCCUUCGACAAGCUAGAUCGCAGAUCGAGGAGAUGGAUCCGUCGAUGAAGGAGUACAUGGACCGACUCACCAAGUCCAUGGACGAGAUUCGGGUCGACCUCCGCAACAACACCGCGGCGGUGCACGCGAACACGACCAAGCUUGACGACCUGAUCACCUGGCGUCCGGACCUCGAGCGCCGCGUCUCCGAGCUCAGCGACGCGGUGAUGGAUCUCCGUCAAGGGCGCGCGCCAGCGCCAAGGGCGUCUGGUGCGGCAGCGUUGGGGCCCUCGACGCGCAAGCCGCCCGUUGCAGCGGACAGCGGCCUCCCUGCGGUUAUGGAUCGCGCGGCGACGCUACCCCACGGGUCUACGGACCACGGCGACGUUUUUCUUCACCGGGAGGCGCCGGUGACCCCGUCGGUGUCUCUCCCAGGCACCGGUCAGUUCCUGCCCCAAUCCCCAGUUCCACCUCUCUCACCUUUUGCACACGCGAGUCAGAUGCUCGUGGGUCUGGGGCAAGCCCACCCAUCCAUUUCAUUUCCGUCGUUCUCGAGCGAAAAUCCUUGUAUCUGAAAAACCAUGUGUGAGCAAUAUUUUGCAAUGUUUGGGAUCCACAACUCCUUCUAGGUUCCUAUGGCCGCCCUGAAUUUCCCAGCUCAGCGGCGGUGUGGUUACAGUCCAUACACUCCAAGUUAUCUACCUUUGAUUGGGCGUGAUCGCCACCAAUUGCUCAUUAGACAGUUCUAUACCAUCCAUCAGACGACCACAAUUGCUGAUUACAUUGAACAUUUUGAAGUUUUGGUCAAUCAUUUAACUUCCUAUUCUGAAUCAUUGCAUCCUUACUUCUAUCUGACUCGUUUUGUCGAGGGACUCCGGAACGACAUCCGCGCCGUGGUGCUGGUGCAGCGACCACCCGAUUUGGACACGGCGUGUUCCCUGGCAUUACUUCAGGAGGAGGUGAUGGAGCCAGUGCACCGUGUUCAUCCACCAACUCCUGUUGCACGGGUGCCUGAUGCCGUUCUGCACCCAAAUGUUCCACUACCCUUGCCGCCUCCACCUACUCCAAGACCAACUUCAGCAAACGCGCCGACGACAGCUAAUGAUCGUCGCGGCGUCGAAGGUGCACGGGCUGAUAGCAACAAACUCAAGGCGCUCCGCGACUACCGCCAAGCACGCGGGCUCUAUUUCAAGUGCGGGGAACGUUGGGGCCACGAUCAUGUGUGCCCCACGUCAGUGUAGCUGCAUAUUGUUGAAGAACUGCUCGAGCUCUUCGCUAUCGACGCAGGCAUCGACGCUUCAACGACACCUGAACCAGGGGCAUCUGAAACUGUCAUGGCUAUCUCACGAACAACACUGUCGGGCGGGGUUUCAGCUAAAGCUUUCCAACUCCGAGCUUGGAUACAAGGGCAUGAGGUAUUGGUACUGGUUGAUUCAGGUAGUACCACAUCUUUUGUGGAUCAGAAGCUAGCCAAGUCGUUGGACGGAGUGACAUCUCUGGCACGCGCGUGCACGGUGCGCGUCGCCGACGGCGGAGAACUCAUCUGUUCUUCUGAAGUUCCCCAGUGCACCUGGUACUCUCAAGACCAUGAAUUCAUCACCAACAUGAAAGUUCUACCAUUGGGUACUUAUGAUUCCAUUUUGGGCUUGGAUUGGUUAGAGGAAAACAGCCCCAUGUUUGUGGAUUGGCGAGCGAAGCGCAUUGAAAUCCAUGCUGCCAAUGCAACAAUUUGUCUGCAAGGGCACGACGCCCAGUCCACAGUUUGUCACACGAUCAACAGCCUGCACCUUCAGAGUCUGAUCAACAAUGAAGCAGUCACACAUGUCAUUUUCUUACACUCGGUCACUUCUGAAGAAGAACUCCUGCAAGCCAUUCCUGACUAUAUCCGACACGUAUUACUCCAAUUUGAGGAUGUGUUUGGGGAACCAACUGAAUUACCACCGCGACAUUCCUAUGAUCAUCGGAUACCCCUCAUCCUAGGAGCACACCCGGUGAACAUUCGUCCGUACAGACAUAAGCUAGAACAUAAGACUGAAAUAGAGAAACAAGUGGCAGAACUGCUCCGUGCCGGUAUCAUUCAAAAAAGCUCAAGCCCUUUCGCUUCUCCUAUUAUCUUGGUCAAGAAGAAGGACGGCCGAGGGAGUCCUGGAUUAGGGGGUCUCCGGAUAGCCGGACUAUCUCCGUUGGCCGGACUGUUAGACUAUGAAGAUACAAGAUUGAAGACUUCGUCUCGUGUCCGGAUGGGACUCUACUUGGCGUGGAAGGCAAGCUAGCUAGGCAGUACGGAUAUGGAUAUCUCCUCAUUUAUAACCGACCUUGUGUAACCCUAACCCUCUCCGGCGUCUAUAUAAACUGGGGGGUUUUAGUCCGUAGGACAACAAUCAUAACAUACAAUCAUACCAUAGGCUAGCUUCUAGGGUUUAGCCUCUCUCAUCUCGUGGUAGAUCUACUCUUGUACUACCCAUAUCAUCAAUAUUAAUCAAGCAGGACGUAGGGUUUUACCUCCAUCAAGAGGGCCCGAACCUGGGUAAAACAUUGUGUCCCCUGCCUCCUGUUACCAUCCGGCCUAGACGCACAGUUUGGGGCCCCCUACCCGAGAUCCGCCGGUUUUGACACCGACAUUGGUGCUUUCAUUGAGAGUUCCUCUGUGUCGUCGCCGUUAGGCUUGAUGGCUCCUACUAUCAUCAAUAGCGAUGCAGUCCAGGGUGAGACUUUUCUCCCCGGACAGAUCUUCGUAUUCGGCGGCUUUGCACUGCGGGCUAACUCGCUUGGCCAUCUGGAGCAGAUUGAAAGCUACGCCCCUGGCUAUCAGGUCAGAUUUGGAAGUUUGAACUAUACGGCCGACAUCCGCGGAGACUUGAUCUUCGACGGAUUCGAGCCACAGCCCGGCGCGCCGCACUAUCGCGAUGGGUAUGACCUAGCUCUGCCGCCGAACAGUACCCCAGAGGCCGCGCCCGCAUCAGCUCCGACCCUUAGCUCGGAGCCAACUGCGCCAAUCGAGGACGAGUGGUUAGACACCGCCUCAGGGGCUGCAGUCUCAAUGGCGAUCGAGCCAAACACCAGCAUAAUCCUCUGCGCAGCCCGUGACUCCAAGGUGCCGGACUCUUUUCCGGACCCCGAACCAUCCGCGCCCCUGCCAGUCGAAUCCGAUUGGGCGCCGAUCAUGGAAUUCACCGCCGCAGAUAUCUUUCAGCACUCACCCUUCGGCGACAUUCUGAAUUCACUAAAGUCUCUCUCUUUAUCAGGAGAGCCCUGGCCGGAUCAUGGCCAACAUGAUUGGGAUGCGGACGACAAAGAAAUUCGACGCCCACCCAACACCCACUUCGUAGCCACUGUCGAUGAUUUAACCGACAUGCUCGACUUUGACUCCAAAGACAUCGACGGUAUGGACGACGAUGUAGGAGACGAACAUGAACCAACACCUAUAGGGCACUGGAAAGCCACCUCGUCAUAUGACAUAUACAUGGUGGAUACACCCAAUGAAGGCAAUGGCGACGAGAUAGCGGAGGAUGACCCCUCCAAGAAGCAACCCAAGCGCCGACGUCAGCGGCGUCGCUCUAAGUCCCGCCAAAGCAAAAGUGGUGAUACCGGCACAGGAGAUAAUACUCCGGAUAGUGCCGAAGGCAACAACAAUCCCCUCCAGCAAGAUUUAGAGCAGGAGGGUGAAGGAGCCAGCUCUCCUGAGAGAGCGGCAGAUGGAGAGGAGGAGGAUGACAAUUACAUCCCCCCUCCGACGAGGCAAGCCUCGGCGACGAUGAAUUUGCCGUCCCAGAGGAUCCCAUCGAACAAGAGUGCUUCAAGCGUCGGCUUAUGGCCACGGCAAAUAGCCUGAAGAAAAAGCAGCAGCAGCUUCAAGCUGAUCAAGAUCUGCUAGCUGACAAAUGGACCGAAGUGCUCGCGACCGAGGAAUAUAAACUCGAGCGCCCCUCCAAGAGUUACCCAAGGCGCAGGUUACUACCCCGACUGGAGGAAGAAGCGUAUGAUACGGCUGAUCGGCCACCUCGUGGCUGCGAUAGAGAGGCAUUCCAUCCAAAAGCUCAGCCUCCACCCCAACGCCAUUCAAAUAAAAAGGCAUGGGGAGAUACGCCAGACCUGCGAGACAUAUUGGAGGACAAGGAAAGCAUUCAAGAUCGAUCUACGGAUCACGAGGGCGCACCACUCUGCGAGACGACAAACGUCACGCCGGAUACAGUAAAAGAAAAUCCGGCCGGGCCGAACACAGCGGGCAAGACCCAUUCGAGCUGCGUCAAGAUAUAGCCCAAUACAAAGGCGCCGCACACCCCUUAUGCUUCACAAACGAAGUAAUGGAACAUCAAUUCCCUGAAGGUUUCAAACCUGUAAACAUUGAACCAUACGACGGCACAACAGAUCCCGCAGUAUGAAUUGAGGACUUCCUCCUCCACAUCCACAUGGCCCGCGGUGAUGACUUACACGCCAUCAAAUACCUCCCACUAAAGCUCAAAGGACCAGCGCGACAUUGGCUUAACAGCUUGCCAGCGGGCUCCAUUAGCUGUUGGGAAGAUCUGGAAGCCGCAUUCCUCGACAACUUUCAGGGCACUUAUGUGCGACCACCAGACACCAAUGAUUUGAGCCACAUAAUUCAGCAGCUAGAAGAGUCGGCUAGGCAAUUCUGGACUCGGUUCCUUAUAAAGAAAAAUCAAAUCAUCGACUGUCCGGAUGCGGAGGCCUUAGCGGCUUUCAAGCACAAUAUCCGGGACGAGUGGCUAGCCCGGGAGCCUUGGUCAGGAAAAGCCGAAAUCUAUGGCAGCUCUCACGACGCUCAUGACCCGCUUUUGUGCGGGAGAAGACAACUGGCUGGCUCGCAGUAAUAACAUAUCAAAGAACCAUGGUACCUCAGAUACCAAGGACGACAAUAGCAGGUCAUGUCGCAACAAGCAUAAGCGUCGCAUUAACAGCGAAAAUACUGAGGAUACGACAGUCAAUGCCGGAUUCAAAGGCUCUAAACCCGGUCAGCGGAAAAAGCCAUUCAAAUAAAGUACGCCGGGUCCGUCCAGCUUGAACCAUAUACUCGAUCGCUCGUGUCAAAUACAUGGCACCCCAGACAAGCCAGCCAAUCACACCAACAGGGAUUGUUGGGUGUUCAAGCAGGCCGGCAAGUUAAUUGCCGAAAACAAGGACAAGGGGCCGCAUAGCGAUGACGAGGAGGAACCCCGGCAGCCGCACACUGGAGGACAGAAGAGGUUUCCCCCGCAAGUACGGACGGUGAACAUGAUAUACGCAACCCACAUCCCCAAGAGGGAGCGGAAGCGUGCGCUCAGGGACGUAUAUGCGUUGGAGCCAGUCGCCCCAAAGUUCAACCCUUGGUCCUCCUGCCCGAUCACCUUCGAUCGCAGGGACCACCGCACUAGUAUCCAUCAUGGCGGAUUCACCGCACUGGUCCUAGACCCAAUCAUUGACGAAUUUCACCUCACUCGAGUCCUUAUGGACGGCGGCAGCAGUCUAAACCUGCUUUAACAGGACACAGUGCGCAAAAUGGGUAUAGACCCCUCAAGGAUCAAACCCACAAAAACGACCUUUAAGGGCGUCAUUCCAGGUGUAGAGGCCCAUUGCAUAGGCUCAGUUACACUGGAAGUGGUCUUCGGAUCCCCGGAUAAUUUCCGAAGCGAAGUGUUAAUCUUCGAUAUAGUCCCGUUCCGCAAUGGUUAUCACACGCUGCUCGGGCGAACCGCAUUCGCUAGAUUCAAUGCGGUACCGCAUUAUGCAUACUCAAGCUCAAGAUGCCAGGACCUCGCGGAGUUAUUACAGACACAGAGCGCUCUCUCCGAACAGAGGAGCACACCGCGGCCCUCGCAGCAGAAGCGCAAAGAAACCUCUCAAGGCAAUCAACCAGUUCGGCGCUUCAAAGCCCGGACACCUUCAAGCGCGCUCGGGGCAAUCAGCAAAUAGACCGCCUGGCGCGAUCUGAGCUUGCGUAGCAAUACGGAGGCCACCCCAAUCCCAUCCCAGCAGCACUGUGGCCGAACACAUGAUGCAGCAACCAAGGAGGCAGACAGCUACGUUAUACCACGGAAUUCCCAGGUUGAUUACAUUAACGAGUGAAAUAUUCAAUUUAAUAUCAUUCCUCAGCUUGCCCUUGGAAGGGACAUAGUCCUACUCUUUGCUUAUCGCACUAUCUGUAUCACUCUACUUUAACGCAAUUUUUUAAUAAACAAUGCAUGACAUUACGACUAUUAUCACAUUCUUGUUAUAUAUAUAUAUCUAUGUGUUCAUUAAUGACGCCUUGCAACCGUACACUCUAGUACGGCCAAUAGACCAGGGGCUUACGUACCCGACAUGCAGUGUGAAAAGUCCGAACACUUUCACAAGUGCGGCACCCCGAACUUAUAGCAUUAUAUGCAUCAGCUCUGAAUCAUGUCUUUGGUCAAAUGUUGGGUUUGCCCGGCUCCUAUGUUUUGGUACCUUACGUUCCGCUCUAUUGUCUAAGGUAGCGCUAGGAGAACUACUGCGAUUGUGCUCCGGUUCUGCCGGGCUGAGCACCUCAGUAGAGAAAGCUAAAACUGACUGUCAUGAUAAGGCGAGAGACUGGUCGCUGUUCGGCGAGGUUUUUUGAGUCCCUAAAGACUUAUGCCGCUUAGGGCGAGGGGCCAGCCCAGUCCGGCUUACAGGCGUGUAUCACGCCCCGAAUUCGGCCUUCCGAAUACCAGGGGCUUCGCCGAAAUUUAAAAUUAUAGAAUUCUAUGGCUAAGUGAGAGUGAAAAAGCAUUAUUAGUCCGGUUGCCUUGUUCGUUGUGCUGAGCACCUCCCUCGAAGGACCCAAAUAUGGGAACAAAAGUGCUCAGGUUUAUCCCGAACACCCCAUCACUCGUGGCAUGGGGGCAGAAGCCGAGGACUAGCCAUCUCUCAGAUUGGAUAAACAGCCAAACAGAAGGUAAUAUUUUAAAUUCAAACAAGCGUUGCAUAGCGCACAUGAAACAUGUUUUCAUAAAUACAGGAUAAAACGAGCGAGUUUACUCAAAUAUUACAUCUUUUAAACACUCAUCCGCGAUAAGACGGGCACCCGGCAGAACACCCUCGUAGUACAUCUCGGGGUGGCGGUGCUCCUUGCCCUCCAGCGGCCCCUCCUUGAUCAGCUUCACGGCGUCUAGCUUGACCCACUGCAAUUUCACACGGGCGAAAGCCCGGCGUGCACCUUCAAUGCAGACGGAUCGCUUGACGACCUCCAGCCGUGGGCAGGCAUCCACAAGCCGCCUCACCAGGCCGAAGAAGCUGUUCGGAAGGGCGUCGCCAGGCCACAGCCGGACUAUAAAGCCCUUCGUGGCCUGAUCGGCCGCCUUAUGUAGCUUGACCAUCUUCUUCAGCUGGUCAAUCAUCAGCACCAGAUGUUCGGCCUCAGCAUACUGAGACCAGAACAACUUCUCCGUCGAGCUUCCGUCCUUGGCCUGGUAAAAUUGUGCGGCAUCGGACACACCGCGGGGCAAAUCUGCGAAUGCUCCUGAAGAGCUCUGGAUCCGGGUAAGUAAUCAGUAAUUUACUUUUACAUGCUUGCUUUGCAUAUAGAAAGCCUUACCCGCCGCUAUAUUCUUCAUUGCGUCGAUCUCCUGGAGGGCCUUCUGGGCCUCGGCCUUGGCACUCUUUGCGCUCUCAAGGGCCGCGGCAAGCUCAGACUCUCGCGUCUUCGAGUCAAGCUCCAACGCCUCGUGCUUUGUCACGAGAGCCUGGAGCUCUUGCUGCACCUCGCCCACCCGAGCCUCGUGCUUCUCUCGCUCGGUGCGCUCCUUGGCCGCUGUAUCUUCGGCCUUGGUUAACGCUUGCUUCAGGGUCGCCACCUCGGUCGUGGCCCUUGACAAACAUACGAUGAUCCUGUCAUUUUGCAAUCGCGUCCUUCUUUAUAUAUACAUAUCUAUAGACGGGGUAUUACUUACCCUUGUUCUCCUCGAGCUGCCUCUUGGCAAGGCCGAGCUCUUUCUUGGACCCCUCGAGGUCCUGCUUCAGUACGGCGACCUCUGCAGUUAGUGCAGCGGACGCCAGCAGCGAAGCCUGCAUAUGCAUGUUGACACACUUAUAUUAGACUCCUGCGAUAUUAUUUGAUCCUAUGUUUGGCUUUUCUUUGUGAACACCGAACAAAGCAUCAGGGGCUACUGUCUAUGCGGUAAUAUUUCUACUAUAUUUUAAAACACUUACCUCAAAGCCUGUUAGAAGGCUGCAUAGACUUCAGUCAGUCCGCUCUUGGCGGACUGAACCUUCUGGAUCACCGCACUCAUGAUAGUGCGGUGCUCCUCGUCGAUGGAAGCGCUGCGAAGCGCUUCUAGCAGAUUGUCCGGUUCCUCUGGAUGGACAGAGGUCACCGGCACAGGCGUCUUGCCCCUCUUAGAAGGAGGCCGCCUGUCCGAGCCCAGAACCGCUGGAGAGUCCGCCAUGGUGUUCGGCUGGGGGCCGAACUUGGAGCUCUCGGAGGCCCCGUCCCCGCGGCUCCCGGAGUCCGGAAGGUCGCCUUGAGGCGCCUCCAGGACUGUCUCCCCUCGAUCCGGUGCCUCUUGAGACAGCACCUCGGCGUCGUCGGCAGGAUGAGGGGAGGCGGCGAUCGGGACUGGAUCGCUAUCCAUGUCCGACAAGCCCAAGGAGCCGUCCGAUGAUACAUCGAUACUGGCUCGUGGCGGCCUGCAUAAUUGCGUUCGGCGUUAGAGAAAGCAGUGCGACAAAGGAAUCCUAGGAGUUACUCUGGUAUCUGAAUACUUACGAUCUUCCCGGGGGCUUGACCCUGGGCAACCACUCAACUUCGCCUUCAUCGGCGGUGGUGGAACUAUCCGGAAGGAGUCCUUCCCUUCUUGGACCCUCCAGCCUCCCCAGUUGGGGCGACCUUCCUUUUCUUGUCUCCCCCAGUCGGUGGGGGAGCAUCUUCUUCUUCUUCUUCCUCGUCUUCGGGGGAAGAGUGCGCCACAGAGUCAUCGGACGGUGAGUCCGAUGACGCCUGGCGUCGGGAACUCUUUCGGGUUCCCUUGGCCUUCUUGGUCUUCUCCGGCACCUUAUAAGGGGCCGGAGUCAGCAUCUUCGCCAGAAGAGCGUCUGCGGGGCCUUCGGGCAAAGGAGCCGGACAGUCGAUCUGUCCGGCCAUCUUCUGUCAGUCCUAUCAAAGGGACGGGAGUUUAGAUCCCGCAUAGAGUCAAUCUAUAUAAAAAAAUAAGUAUCCUAUGAAAGGUAAAGCAGCUUACCGCACUGGCUUGGUGCUUCGCGCUGAAUCCGCGAUCCUCAGUAAUAGGGGGAGGGACCUCGACACCUUUGAACAGCACCCUCCAUGCGUCUUCAUGAGUCAUGUCGAAGAGGCUGUUCAGAGUUCGAUGCUGCGCCGGAUUGAACUCCCACAAGGUGAACUCCCGUUGCUGGCACGGGAGUAUCCGUCGGAUGAGCAUAACCUGGACUAUGUUGACAAGCUUGAGCUUCUUGUCCAUCAUGUUUUGAAUACAUGUUUGGAGUCCGGUCAGCUCUUUCGAACUACCCCAGGACAGGCCCUUCUCUUUUCAGGAGGUGAGCCGCAUGGUGAUGCCAGAUCGGAACUCGGGGGCCGCUACCCAUGCGGGGUCGCGCGGCUCGGUGAUAUAGAACCACCCCGAUUGCCACCCCUUUAUGGUUUCCACAAAGGAGCCCUCGAGCCAUGUUAUGUUGGGCAUCUUGCCCACCAUGGCGCCUCCGCACUCCACCUGGCGGCCGCCCACCACCUUCGACUUGACAUUGAAGGUAUUCAGCCAUAAGCCAAAGUGGGGUUUGAUGCGGAGGAAGGCCUUGCACACGACGAUAAACGCCGAGAUGUUGAGGAUGAAGUUCGGGGCCAGAUCGUGGAAAUCCAGGCCGUAAUAAAACAUGAGCCCUCGGACGAAGGGAUGGAGAGGGAAUCCCAGUCCGCGGAGGAAAUGGGUGAGGAAUACCACCCUCUCAUGGGGCCUGGGGGUGGGGAUGAGGUGCCCCUCAUCUGGGAGCCGGUGCGCGAUGUCGUCGGGCAGGUAUCCGGCUCUCCUUAGUUUCUUGAUGUCUCCCUCCAUGACGGAGGAGACCAUCCACUUGCCUCCCGCUCCGGACAUGAUUGGAGAAGGUCGAGGUGGGAAGUGCGGACUUGGGCGCUAGAGCACGAGUGUGCGAAAACGGAUGGGUAAGGGAGGAAGAAGGCAUGGAUGGAAAGGUGAAUCCUUAUCCCCUUAUAUGGGCAGACGAAACUAAGCGUCCCCACUUGCCUGGUAAACCUCGCUUAUCCCCCAAGCGCCACAAUUGAUGGCGCGGUUGGGUUACCCACGCCCGUAUUGAUGAGAAUCCCGUAAUAAGGGGACACGAUCUUGAAGGAUAUAUUCCCUAGAGGCAAUAAUUAAGUUAUUAUUUUAUUUCCUUAUAUCAUGAUAAAUGUUUAUUAUUCAUGCUAGAAUUGUAUUAUCCGGAAACAUAAUACUUGUGUGAAUACAUAGACAAACUAAACGUCACUAGUGUGCCUCUACUUGACUAGCUCGUUAAUCAAAGAUGGUUAUGUUUCCUAACCAUAGACAUGUGUUGUCAUUUGAUUAACGGGAUCACAUCAUUAGGAGAAUGAUGUGAUUGACAUGACCCAUUCCAUUAGCUUAGCACCCGAUCAUUUAGUAUGUUGCUAUUGCUUUCUUCAUGACUUAUAUAUGUUCCUAUGACUAUGAGAUUAUGCAACUCCCAUUUGCCGGAGGAACACUUUGUGUGCUACCAAACGUCACAACGUAAUUGGGUGAUUAUAAAGGAGCUCUACAGGUGUCUCCAAAGGUACAUGUUGGGUUGGCGUAUUUCGAGAUUAGGAUUUGUCACUCCAAUUGUCGGAGAGGUAUCUCUGGGCCCUCUCGGUAAUACACAUCACAUAAGCCUUGCAAGCAUUACAACUAAUGAGUUAGUUGCGAGAUGAUGUAUUAUGAAAUGAGUAAAGAGACUUGCCGGUAACGAGAUUGAACUAGGUAUUGAGAUACCGACGAUCGAAUCUCGGGCAAGUAACAUACCGAUGACAAAGGGAACAAAGUAUGUUGUUAUGCGGUCUGACCGAUAAAGAUCUUCGUAGAAUAUGUGAGAGACAAUAUGAGCAUCCAGGUUCCGCUAUUGGUUAUUGACCGGAGACAUGUCUUGGUCAUGUCUACAUUGUUCUCGAACCCGUAGCGUCCGCACGCUUAACGUUACGAUGAUAGCUUCAUUAUGAGUUUAUAUAUUUUGAUGUACCGAAGUUUGUUAGGAGUCCCGGAUGUGAUCACGGACAUGAUGAGGAGUCUCGAAAUGGCCGAGACAUAAAGAUUGAUAUAUUAGAAGCCUAUGUUUGGACAUCGGAAGUGUUCUGGGUAAAAUCGGCAUUUUACCGGAGUACCGGGAGGUUACCCGAACCCCCCGGUAACCUAAUGGGCCUAGUGGAGGAAGAGGAGAGGAGGCCUAGGGGCUGCCGCGCGCCCCUCCCCCCCAAGUCCGAAUUGGACAAGGAGGGGGGCGGCGCCCCCCCUUUCCUUUCUUCCUUCUCCUCCUUCCCCCCAAGUCCUAAUCCAACUAGGGAAAGGUGGGGAGUCCUACUCCCAGCAGGAGUAGGACUCCUCCGGCGCGUCUCCUCCUAGGGCCGGCCACACCCCCCCUUUGCUCCUUUAUAUACGGGGCAGGGGGCACCUCUAGACACACAAGUUGAUCCUCGUGAUCGUUUUCUUAGCCGUGUGCGGUGCCCCCUUCCACCAUACUCCUCGAUAAUAUUGUAGCGGUGCUUAGGCGAAGCCCUGCGACGGUAGAACAUCAAGAUCGUCACCAUGCCGUCGUGCUGACAGAACUCUUCCCCGACACUUUGCUGGAUCGGAGUCCGGGGAUCGUCAUCGAGCUGAACGUGUGCUAAAACUCGGAGGUGCCGUAGUUUCGGUGCUUGAUCGGUCGGGCCGUGAAGACGUACGACUACAUCAACCGCGUUGUCGUAACGCUUCCGCUGUCGGUCUACGAGGGUACGUAGACAACACUCUCCCCUCUCGUUGCUAUGCAUCACUAUGAUCUUGCAUGUGCGUAGGAAUUUUUUUGAAAUUACUACGUUCCCCAAAAGUGGCAUCCGAGCCUAGGUUUUAUGUGUUGAUGUUAUAUGCACGAGUAGAACACAAGUGAGUUGUGGGCGAUAUAAGUCAUACUGCUUACCAGCAUGUCAUAGUUUGGUUCGGCGGUAUUGUUGGAUGAAGCGGCCCGGACUGACAUUACGUGUACGCUUACGCGAGACUGGUUCUACCGACGCGCUUUGCACACAGGUGGCUGGCGGGUGUCAGUUUCUCCAACUUUAGUUGAACCGAGUGUGGCUACGCCCGGUCCUUGCGAAGGUUAAAACAGCACCAACUUGACAAACUAUCGUUGUGGUUUUGAUGCGUAGGUAAGAUUGGUUCUUGCUUAAGCCCGUAGCAGCCAUGUAAAACUUGCAACAAACAAAGUAGAGGACAUCUAACUUGUUUUUGCAGGGCAUGUUGUGAUGUGAUAUGGUCAAGACAUGAUGCUAAAAUUUUAUUGUAUGAGAUGAUCAUGUUUUGUAACUGAGUUAUUGGCAACUGGCAAGAGCCAUAUGGUUGUCGCUUUAUUCUAUGCAAUGCAAUUGCGCUGUAAUGCUUUACUUUAUCACUAAGCGGUAGCGAUAGUCGUGGAAGCAUAAGAUUAGCAAGACGACAACGAUGCUACCAUGGUGAUCAAGGUGUCGCACCGGUGACGAUGGUGAUCAUGACGGUGCUUCAAAGAUGGAGAUCGCAAGCACAAGAUGAUGAUGGCCAUAUCAUAUCACUUAUAUUGAUUGCAUGUGAUGUUUAUCUUUUAUGCAUCUUAUCUUGCUUUGAUUGACGGUAGCAUUUUAAGAUGAUCUCUCACUAAUUAUCAAGAAGUGUUCUCCCUGAGUAUGCACCGUUGCGAAAGUUCUUCGUGCUGAGACACCACGUGAUGAUCGGGUGUGAUAGGCUCUACGUUCAAAUACAACGGGUGCAAAACAGUUGCACACGUGGAAUACUCAGGUUAUACUUGACGAGCCAAGCAUAUACAGAUAUGGCCUCGGAGAACGGAGACCGAAAGGUCGAGCGUGAAUCAUAUAGUAGAUAUGAUCAACAUAGUGAUGUUCACCAAUGAAACUACUCCAUCUCACGUGAUGAUCGGACAUGGUUUAGUUGAUUUGGAUCACGUGAUCACUUAGAGGAUUAGAGGGAUGUCUAUCUAAGUGGGAGUACUUUAGUAAUAUGAUUAAUUGAACUUAAAUUUAUCAUGAACUUAGUACCUGAUAGUAUCUUGCUUAUUUAUGUUUGAUUGUAGAUAGAUGGCCCGUGCUGUUGUUCCAUUGAAUUUUAAUGCGUUCCUUGAGAAAGCAAAGUUGAAAGAUGAUGGUAGCAAUUACACGGACUGGGUCCAUAACUUGAGGAUUAUCCUCAUUGCUGCACAGAAGAAUUAUGUCCUGGAAGCACCGCUGGGUGCCAGGCCUACUGCUGGAGCAACACCAGAUGUUAUGAACGUUUGGCAGAGCAAAGCUGAUGACUACUCGAUAGUUCAGUGUGCCAUGCUUUACGGCUUAGAAUCGGGACUUCAACGACGUUUUGAACGUCAUGGAGCAUAUGAGAUGUUCUAGGAGUUGAAGUUAAUAUUUCAAGCAAAUGCCCGGAUUGAGAGAUAUGAAGUCUCCAAUAAGUUCUAUAGCUGCAAGAUGGAGGAGAACAGUUCUGUCAGUGAGCAUAUACUCAAAAUGUCUGGGUAUAAUAAUCACUUGAUUCAAUUGGGAGUUAAUCUUCCAGAUGAUUGCGUCAUUGACAAAAUUCUCCAAUCACUUCCACCUAGCUACAAGAGCUUCGUGAUGAACUAUAAUAUGCAAGGGAUGAAUAAGACAAUUCCUGAGCUCUUCGCAAUGCUGAAAGCUGCAGAGGUAGAAAUCAAAAAGGAGCAUCAAGUGUUGAUGGUCAACAAGACCACUAGUUUCAAGAAAAAGGGCAAAGGGAAGAAGAAGGGGAACUUCAAAAAGAACAACAAGCAAGUUGCUGCUCAGGAGAAGAAACCCAAAUCUGGACCUAAGCCUGAAACUGAGUGCUUCUACUGCAAGCAGACUGGUCACUGGAAGCGGAACUGCCCCAAGUAUUUGGCGGAUAAGAAGGAUGGCAAGGUGAACAAAGGUAUAUGUGAUAUACAUGUUAUUGAUGUGUACCUUACUAAUGCUCGCAGUAGCACCUAGGUAUUUGAUACUGGUUCUGUUGCUAAUAUUUGCAACUCGAAACAGGGACUACGGAUUAAGCGAAGAUUGGCUAAGGACGAGGUGACGAUGCGCGUGGGAAAUGGUUCCAAAGUUGAUGUGAUCGCGGUCGGCACGCUACCUCUACAUCUACCUUCGGGAUUAGUAUUAGACCUAAAUAAUUGUUAUUUGGUGCCAGCGUUAAGCAUGAAUAUUAUAUCUGGAUCUUGUUUAAUGCGAGACGGUUAUUCAUUUAAAUCAGAGAAUAAUGGUUGUUCUAUUUAUAUGAGUAAUAUCUUUUAUGGUCAUGCAUCCUUGAAGAGUGGUCUAUUCUUAUUAAAUCUCGAUAGUAGUGACACACAUAUUCAUAAUGUUGAAACCAAAAGAUGCAGAGUUGAUAAUGAUAGUGCAACUUAUUUGUGGCACUGCCGUUUAGGUCAUAUCGGUAUAAAGUGCAUGAAGAAACUCCAUACUGAUGGACUUUUGGAACCACUUGAUUAUGAAUCACUUGGUACUUGCGAACCGCGCCUUAUGGGCAAGAUGACAAAAACACCGUUCUCCGGUACUAUGGAGAGAGCAAUAGAUUUGUUGGAAAUCAUACAUACAGAUGUAUGUGGUCCGAUGAAUGUUGAGGCUCGUGGCGGAUAUCGUUAUUUUCUCACCUUCACAGAUGACUUAAGCAGAUAUGGGUAUAUCUACUUAAUGAAAUAUAAGUCUGAAACAUUUGAAAAGUUCAAAGAAUUUCAGAGUGAAGUUGAAAAUCAUUGUAACAAGAAAAUAAAAUUCCUACGAUCUGAUCGUGGAGGAGAAUAUUUGAGUUACGAAUUUGGUGUACAUUUGAAACAAUGCAGAAUAGUUUCGCAACUCACGCCACCCGGAACACCACAACGUAAUGGUGUGUCCGAACGUCGUAAUCGUACUUUACUAGAUAUGGUGCGAUCUAUGAUGUCUCUUACUGGUUUACCGCUAUCGUUUUGGGGUUAUGCUUUAGGGACGGCCGUAUUCACGUUAAAUAGGGCACCAUCAAAAUCAGUUGAGACGACGCCUUAUGAACUGUGGUUUGGCAAGAAACCAAAGUUGUCGUUUCUGAAAGUCUGGGCUGUGAUGCUUAUAUGAAAAAGCUUCAACCUGAUAAACUCAAACCCAAAUCGGAGAAAUGUGUCUUCAUAGGAUAUCCAAAGGAAACUAUUGGAUACACCUUCUAUCAUAGAUCCGAAGGCAAGACUUUUGUUGCUAAAUUUGGAAACUUUCUGGAGAAGGAGUUUCUCUCGAAAGAAGUGAGUGGGAGGAAAGUAGAACUUGAUGAGGUAACUGUACCUACUCCCUUAUUGGAAAGUAGUACAUCACAGAAACCGGUUUCUGUGACACCUACACCAAUUAGUGAGGAAGCUAAUGAUGAUGAUCAUGAAACUUCAGAACAAGAUACUACUGAACCUCGUAGAUCAACCAGAGUAAGAUCCGCACCAGAGUGGUACGGUAAUCCUGUUCUGGAAGUCAUGCUACUAGAUCAUGAUGAACCUACGAACUAUGGAGAAGCGAUGGCGAGCCCAGAUUCCGCAAAAUGGCUUGAAGCCAUGAAAUCUGAGAUGGGAUCCAUGUAUGAGAACAAAGUGUGGACUUUGGUUGACUUGCCCAAUGAUCGGCAAGCAAUUGAGAAUAAAUGGAUCUUCAAGAAGAAGACUGACGCUGGCGGUAAUGUUACUGUCUACAAAGCUCGACUUGUCACAAAAGGUUUUCGACAAGUUCAAGGGAUUGACUACGAUGAGACCUUCUCACCCGUAGCGAUGCUUAAGUCUGUCCGAAUCAUGUUAUCAAUUGCCGCAUUUUAUGAUUAUGAAAUUUGGCAGAUGGAUGUCAAAACUGCAUUCCUGAAUGGAUUUCUGGAAGAAGAGUUGUAUAUGAUGCAACCAGAAGGUUUUGUCGAUCCAAAGGGAGCUAACAAAGUGUGCAAGCUCCAGCGAUCCAUUUAUGGACUGGUGCAAGCCUCUCGGAGUUGGAAUAAAUGCUUUGAUAGUGUGAUCAAAGCAUUUGGUUUUGUACAGACUUUUGGAGAAGCCUGUAUUUACAAGAAAGUGAGUGGGAGCUCUGUAGCAUUUCUGAUAUUAUAUGUAGAUGACAUAUUACUAAUCGGAAAUGAUAUAGAAUUUCUGGAUAGCAUAAAGGGAUACUUGAAUAAGCGUUUUUCAAUGAAAGACCUCGGUGAAGCUGCUUACAUAUUGGGCAUUAAGAUCUAUAGAGAUAGAUCAAGACGCUUAAUUGGACUUUCACAAAGCACAUACCUUGACAAAGUUUUGAAGAAGUUCAAAAUGGAUCAAGCAAAGAAAGGAUUCUUGCCUGUGUUACAAGGUGUGAAAUUGAGUAAGACUCAAUGCCCGACCACUGCAGAAGAUAGAGAGAAAAUGAAAGAUGUUUCCUAUGCUUCAGCCAUAGGCUCUAUCAUGUAUGCAAUGCUGUGUACCAGACCUGAUGUGUGUCUUUCUAUAAGUCUAGCAGGGAGGUACCAAAGUAAUCCAGGAGUGGAUCACUGGACAACGGUCAAGAACAUCCUAAAAUACCUGAAAAGGACUAAGGAUAUGUUUCUCAUAUAUGGAGGUGACAAAGAGCUCAUCGUAAAUGGUUACGUUGAUGCAAGCUUUGACACUGAUCCGGACGAUUGUAAAUCGCAAACCAGAUACGUGUUUACAUUAAACGGUGGAGCUGUCAGUUGGUGCAGUUCUAAACAAAGCGUUGUGGCGGGAUCUACAUGUGAAGCGGAGUACAUAGCUGCUCCGGAAGCAGCAAAUGAAGGAGUCUGGAUGAAGGAGUUCAUAUCCGAUCUAGGUGUCAUACCUAGUGCAUCGGGUCCAAUGAAAAUAUUUUGUGACAAUACUGGUGCAAUUGCCUUGGCAAAGGAAUCCAGAUUUCACAAGAGAACCAAGCACAUCAAGAGACGCUUCAAUUCCAUCCGAGAUCUAGUCCAGGUGGGAGACAUAGAGAUUUGCAAGAUACAUACGGAUCUGAAUGUAGCAGACCCGUUGACUAAGCCUCUUCCACGAGCAAAACAUGAUCAACACCAAAGCUCCAUGGGUGUUAGAAUCAUUACUGUGUAAUCUAGAUUAUUGACUCUAGUGCAAGUGGGAGACUGAAGGAAAUAUGCCCUAGAGGCAAUAAUAAAGUUAUUAUUUUAUUUCCUUAUAUCAUGAUAAAUGUUUAUUAUUCAUGCUAGAAUUGUAUUAUCCGGAAACAUAAUACUUGUGUGAAUACAUAGACAAACUAAACGUCACUAGUGUGCCUCUACUUGACUAGCUCGUUAAUCAAAGAUGGUUAUGUUUCCUAACCAUAGACAUGUGUUGUCAUUUGAUUAACGGGAUCACAUCAUUAGGAGAAUGAUGUGAUUGACAUGACCCAUUCCAUUAGCUUAGCACCCGAUCGUUUAGUAUGUUGCUAUUGCUUUCUUCAUGACUUAUACAUGUUCCUAUGACUAUGAGAUUAUGCAACUCCCAUUUGCCGGAGGAACACUUUGUGUGCUACCAAACGUCACAACGUAACUGGGUGAUUAUAAAGGAGCUCUACAGGUGUCUCCAAAGGUACAUGUUGGGUUGGCGUAUUUCGAGAUUAGGAUUUGUCACUCCGAUUGUCGAAGAGGUAUCUCUGGGCCCUCUCGGUAAUACACAUCACAUAAGCCUUGCAAGAAUUACAACUAAUGAGUUAGUUGCGAGAUGAUGUAUUACGAAACGAGUAAAGAGACUUGCCGGUAACGAGAUUGAACUAGGUAUUGAGAUACCGACGAUCGAAUCUCGGGCAAGUAACAUACCAAUGACAAAGGGAACAAAGUAUGUUGUUAUGCGGUCUGACCGAUAAAGAUCUUCGUAGAAUAUGUGGGAGCCAAUAUGAGCAUCCAGGUUCCGCUAUUGUUUAUUGACCGGAGACAUGUCUCGGUCAUGUCUACAUUGUUCUCGAACCCGUAAGGUCCGCACGCUUAACGUUACGAUGACAGUUUCAUUAUGAGUUUAUAUAUUUUGAUGUACCGAAGUUUGUGAGGAGUCCCGAAUGUGAUCACGGACAUGACGAGGAGUCUCGAAAUGGUCGAGACAUAAAGAUUGAUAUAUUGAAAGCCUAUGUUUGGACAUCAGAAGUGUUCCGGGUAAAAUCGGCAUUUUACCGGAGUACCGGGAGGUUACCGAAACCCCCCGGUAACCUAAUGGGCCUUAAUGGGCCUAGUGGAGGAAGAGGAGAGGAGGCCUAGGGGCUGCCGCGCGCCCCUCCCCCCCAAGUCCGAAUUGGACAAGGAGGGGGGGGGGGCGCCCCCCUUUCCUUUCUUCCCUCUCCUCCUUCCCCCCAAGUCCUAAUCCAACUAGGAAAAGGUGGGGAGUCCUACUCCCGGUAGGAGUAGGACUCCUCCGGCGCGCCUCCUCCUAGGGCCGGCCGCACCCCCCUUUGCUCCUUUAUAUACGGGGGCAGGGGGCACCUCUAGACACUAAGUUGAUCCUCGUGAUCGUUUUCUUAGCCGUGUGCGGUGCCCCCUUCCACCAUACUCCUCGAUAAUAUUGUAGCGGUGCUUAGGCGAAGCCCUGCGACGGUAGAACAUCAAGAUCGUCACCACGCCGUCGUGCUAACGGAACUCUUCCCCGACACUUUGCUGGAUCGGAGUCCGGGGAUCGUCAUUGAGCUGAACGUGUGCUAAAACUCGGAGGUGCCGUAGUUUCGGUGCUUGAUCGGUCGGGCCGUGAAGAUGUACGACUACAUUAACCGCGUUGUCAUAACGCUUCUGCUGUCGGUCUAUGAGGGUACGUAGACAACACUCUCCCCUCUCGUUGCUAUGCAUCACCAUGAUCUUGCGUGUGCGUAGGAAUUUUUUUGAAAUUACUACGUUCCCCAAGAGAUCUCUGCUUUGGGAAGACGUGUCGAAAAACUGCCUCGCGUUAUGUGCGGGGCUGGUUAAAAGAAACGGUUCGAAUAAUCACUGGGCCGUGACGCAACGUCAUGCUGUCAAAACAAGCCAGCAAAUUAGAUCUGCGAAAAUAUUAUUCUCUCUACAGUGGAAUGUGGAACUUAUUUUGCAGGGUCGGACACUAUCCUCGUAUUCAAAUUCUUCUGCGGUGUAUUUGGAGAAGGAACCCGCCUUUGCAAUGCCGAAGACAAUACUGCGCGCCGGACUCAUCGUCAUUGAAGCCUGGUUCAGGGGCUACUGAGGGAGUCCUGGAUUAGGGGGUCUCCGAACAGCCGGACUAUCUCCGUUGGCCGAACUGUUAGACUAUGAAGAUACAAGAUUGAAGACUUCGUCUCGUGUCCGGAUGGGACUCUACUUGGCGUGGAAGGCAAGCUAGGCAGUACUGAUAUGGAUAUCUCCUCCUUUGUAACCGACCUUGUGUAACCCUAACCCUCUCCGGUGUCUAUAUAAAACGGGGGGUUUUAGUCCGUAGGACAACAAUCAUAACAUACAAUCAUACCAUAGGCUGGCUUCUAGGGUUUAGCCUCUCUGAUCUUGUGGUAGAUCUACUCUUGUACUACCCAUAUCAUCAAUAUUAAUCAAGCAGGACGUAGGGUUUUACCUCCAUCAAGAGGGCCCAAACCUGGGUAAAACAUCGUGUCCCCUGCCUCCUGUUACCAUCCGUCCUAGACGCACAGUUCGGGAUCCCCUACCCGAGAUCCGCCGGUUUUGACACCAACAACGGCACUUGGUGUCUCUGUAUUGACUACAUAUAUCUCAAUGCUCUCACCAUCGUGGGGAAGUACCCGGUUCCGGUCAUUGAAGAAUUGUUGGACGAACUUUAUGGACUCCGUGGUUCUCUAAGCUUGAUCUCCGAGUGGGAUAUCAUCAGAUACGAUUGGCAGAAGGCGAAGAAUUUAAAACAACAUUCUAGACUCACUUUGGGCAUUUCGAGUUCAAGGUGAUGGGCGCUGGAUUGGCUGGUGGACCAGGAACAUUUAAUGGCGCAAUGAACACUACCUUGCAUCCCCUGCUCAGAAAAUGUGUCUUGGUGUUCUUUGACGACAUUCUGGUUUUCAGCAAGACCUUGGAAGAUCACAAGCAACAUCUGAAAGAGGUUCUUCAGCUGCUGAGGCGUGAUCACUGAAAAGUUAAGCGAUCCAAGUGUGCGUUUGGUCAAGAACAGCUCACAUAUUUGGGGCAUGUGGUCAGUGCUCAAGGGGUGGCUACAGAACCAACCAAGAUCCAAGCAGUUCAACGCUGGACAACACCUGCCAAUGUCAAGGAAGUGCGUAGCUUCUUGGGGCUUGCAGGGUACUACCACCGAUUCGUGCGCAACUUUGGCAUCAUCGCGAGGCCCCUGUUCCAAUUACUGAAGAAAGGGGUCCCAUUUGUUUGGACACACGACACCGACACAGCCUUCCAACUUCUCAAGCAGCAGUUGAUAUCGGCCCCCGUGCUCGCCCUGCCUGAUUUCUCUAUGCCGUUCUCUAUUGAGACUGAUGCAAGUGAUAAAGGAGUGGGAGCAGUCCUCCAUCAGAAUGGGCACCCUAUCGCAUUCAUGAGUAAAGCUCUAUCCCCUCGUUACCAAGGCCUAUCGACAUAUGAGAAAGAAUAUCUCACGAUCAUCGUAGCGGCCGACCAAUGGAGGCCAUACCUGCAACACUCGGAGUUCACAAUUCAUACAGAUCAACGCAGCCUUAUUCACUUGGAAACACAACGGCUCACGACUCCCUGGCAGCAACGAGCUUUUACUAAGCUCUUGGGACUGAACUACACUAUCCGUUACAAGAAGGGGAAAGAAAACUCACCCGCAGACGCCCUGUCGCGAGCCAACUUCUCUGAAUCACUAGCAACCAUAUCCUAUUGUAGACCAGCGUGGCUCGAGGAUAUUGCAAGCAGUUACAACAGUAAUCCCCAAGCCCAAUGGCUGCUUGAACAAUUGGCGGUCCGCGACGAUCCCAAAGGAAGAUUCUCAUUGCACCAGGGGCUCCUUCGAUUCCGCGGCCGCAUUUGGCUCGGAGGAAGCACUGCCAUACAACAGCGUAUAUUGGCGACGUUUCACGACAGCCCUAUGGGGGGUCAUUCAGGGUUUUCGGCCACAUAUCGUCGGAUAUGCCAACUGUUUGCAUGGCCCAAGAUGAAGCUGCAAGUGCAACACUAUGUCAAGUGCUGUCAGACAUGUCAACAAGCAAAACCAGACCGUGCAGCGUCACCUGGACUACUCAUACCUUUACCUAUUCCGCAGCAACCUUGGAAGAUGAUCACAAUGGACUUUGUGACUGGACUUCCCCAAUCAGGCAAGUACAAUUGCUUGUGGGUCCUCCUGGACAAACGAACAAGGUUUGCAUACUUCCUGCCUCUGUCACACCCAUACACGGCUGCGAAGGUGGCGCAGCUCUAUAUGCAGCAAAUCUACAGAGUUCAUGGAUUUCUAGGAGCUACUGUAUCAGAUCGCGACCCGGUUUUCACCAAUCAUUUUUGGCAAGAGCUAUUCUAGUAUGCAGGAACCGAGCUGAGAUUGAGCACGGCGAAUCACCCACAGACCGAUGGCCAAACGAAGUGCGUCAACCAAUGCAUCGAGACCUUCUUGUGCUGCUUCACGCAUGCUUGCCCAAAAAGAUGGAGUUUCUGGAUACCAUUGGCUCAAUUCUGGUAUAACUCCUCCCACCACUCUGCCAUUGGAAUGACUCCUUUCAAAGCUUUAUUUGGCCACGAACCUCGCCAUUGGGGCCUCUCCUCUGCAAAUGCCUGCUCCGUCCCGGCCCUGCACACUUGGUUGGAGGAGAGGGCAGUGAUUCAAAAUCUGCUGCAACAACAUCUAAAUCGAGCGAGGCAAUACAUGAAGUACCAGGCAGACAAGAAGCGCUCACCGCGAACCUUUGAAGUAGGUGAUCAAGUGUUCUUGAAGCUCCAGCCGUUCAUUCAAACGUCGGUGGCCCCAAGGGCAAACCACAAGCUUUCGUUCAAGUUCUAUGGCCCCUUUCCAAUCAUCGCCAAGGUGAACGACGCGGCCUACCGACUUCAGCUCCCGGCGCACGCGACAGUGCACCCCGUCUUCCAUGUAUCCCAGCUACGUCAGGCGAUCCUCCCUGGUAUGCAAGUGCACUCCGAUCUCCCUAUCUGUGCUGAUGAACUUGCUGUUCCCAUGGCAAUUCUGGAGACGAGGUGGCGCAAAAGAAGCAACGGCACUAUGCUGGAGCAAGUGAAGGUGCGCUGGUCUGAUCCAUCAUCCAUGGGGGACACCUGGGAAGACAAAUUGGCGCUUCAAGCUCGCUUCCCAAAAGCGGAGGCUUGGGGUCAAGCCUCAUCACAAGGAGAAGGGGAUGUUAGCGCCCCUGCCAGGAAAGGCACCCACCACAGCGCCAACGACACGCGCGACCGCGGACCAACCCCCGCUUCACUGGGCCGGACUGGGCCAACCAGCUACACCCGAAGGGCCACGCUGUUUAAGCAAGGCGAGUACCAGAGGCGAGUCAUCCAGAGGAUCACGGUGAACGGCACCGGCGGCUACCUACUUUCCCUUCCACUUGUUCUUGUGUUCAUCCUGCACCGAAGAACUCCUACCAAUUCUUGUAAUCUCCUGUACCUAAGCUACUACUUCAAAGAGCUAAACCAAGAGAGGAUCAGUGUAAUCAUAACAUGAAUACUGUCGGCCAGAGUCUUCCUUCACAUCUCCUGUAGAAAAAAACAGAGCGAGCUGUAGACAUGAACCAAAAGCUGUUAUGUAUCCAAGCUCCACA
RNAcentral lists this long non-coding RNA (23669 nucleotides) under Triticum aestivum (bread wheat). RNAcentral describes it as "long non-coding RNA (TAES_LNC006070)". The record is from RNAcentral. Lineage: Eukaryota; Viridiplantae; Streptophyta; Magnoliopsida; Poales; Poaceae.